GAUGAACGCUGGCGGCGUGCCUAAUACAUGCAAGUCGAACGGAAAGGCCCUGCUUUUGUGUGGUGCUCGAGUGGCGAAGGGGUGUGUAACACGUGAGUAUCCUCUUCUUCACUGGGGGAUAACUUCAGGAAACUGGUUAUAAUACCGGAUAGGAGCUGCUGCUCCUUGGUGGGGUUGGAAAGUUUCGGCGGUUGGGGAUGGGCAUGCGGCUCAUGUGCUUGUUGGUGGGGUAGUGGCUUACCAAGGCUUUGACGGGUAGCCGGCCUGAGAGGGUGACCGGCAACAUUGGGACUGAGAUACGGGCGGGACGCGUACGGGAGGCAGCGGUGGGGAAUAUUGCACAAUGGGGGGAAGCCUGGUGCAGCAAGGCCGCGUGCGGGAUGACGGCCUUCGUGUAGUAAACCAAUUUCGCAGGUGACGGAGCGUGAGUGACGGUAAUGAGUAAAGAAGCACCGGCUAACUACGUG
RNAcentral lists this ribosomal RNA (467 nucleotides) under uncultured bacterium. RNAcentral describes it as "partial 16S ribosomal RNA". It matches the Rfam family "Bacterial small subunit ribosomal RNA", at positions 28 to 507 of the family's 1533-position model. The record is from RNAcentral.